RNAcentral lists this ribosomal RNA (322 nucleotides) under uncultured eukaryote. Its description in RNAcentral is "partial 18S ribosomal RNA". It matches the Rfam family "Eukaryotic small subunit ribosomal RNA", at positions 1470 to 1796 of the family's 1831-position model. The record is from RNAcentral.
CCCUUAGAUGUUCUGGGCCGCACGCGCGCUACACUGAUGCAUUCAACGAGCCUAUCCUUGACCGACAGGUCCGGGUAAUCUUUGAAUCUGCAUCGUGACGGGGAUAGAUUAUUGCAAUUAUUAAUCUUCAACGAGGAAUGCCUAGUAGGCGCAAGUCAUCAGCUUGCGUCGAUUACGUCCCUGCCCUUUGUACACACCGCCCGUCGCUGCUACCGAUUGAGUGGUCCGGUGAAUUAUUCGGACCGGUGGACUGUGGGGAAACCCGCGGCCUGCUGGGAAGUCUUGUGAACCUUAUCACUUAGAGGAAGCAGAAGUCGUAACA